This 298-nucleotide long non-coding RNA is filed under the name Bos indicus x Bos taurus (hybrid cattle). RNAcentral describes it as "lncRNA (ENSBIXG00000004716.1)". The record is from RNAcentral. Lineage: Eukaryota; Metazoa; Chordata; Mammalia; Artiodactyla; Bovidae.
CUGGUGUAGAUCCUUAAUAAAGAUCCAGCAUCCCAAACUCUGAGUCUUCUCCCAAAGAACCCAACCUGUGACACAGUGGACAUCUGGGCAGGGGCAUUGGUGACCACAGGGACAGCACUUGGUACUAGCUCGUCUCACCCAAGGGCAGCAGAUGUGGAACUGGCCAACCACGGGGGCAACUUGCUCACCCCCAGGCAGGAAAGUCCCCGUGAACGUUCCGGUCUAUCAGCUUAGCCAAGGAGAAUUGAGGGAGAGGAUAUAGAUGCGUUUCGAUUUGGACCUCAAAAAUAAAAACUGG